UGAAUACGAGAUGCUACGGCAUCGAAGCAGUCUAUGUCAUACUUCCAAGAAAAGCUUGCACUGUCAUAAACAAAUAAUGCCUGUACCAUAACCGACACAGGUGGGUAGGUAGAGUAUACUAAGGGGCGCGAGAUAACUCUCUCUAAGGAACUCGGCAAAAUGACUCCGUAACUUCGGGAGAAGGAGUGCCUUAUUUUAUAAGGUUGCAAUAACAAGAUCCAAGCAACUGUUUACCAAAAACACAGGUCUCCGCUAAGUCGUAAGACGAUGUAUGGGGGCUGACGCCUGCCCAGUGCCAGAAGGUUAAAGAAGUUGGUUAGCAUUAGCGAAGCUGAUAACUGAAGCCCUGGUGAACGGCGGCCGUAACGAUAACGGUCCUAAGGUAGCGAAAUUCCUUGUCGGGUAAGUUCCGACCCGCGCGAAAGGCGUAAUGAUUUGGUUACUGUCUCGGAGAGGGGCUCGGUGAAAUAGACUUGUCUGUGAAGAUGCGGACUACCUGCACCAGGACAGAAAGACCCUAUGAAGCUUUACUGUAACUUGAGAUUGAAAUUGGACUUUAUUUGCGCAGUAUAGGUGGGAGACGUUGAAAAUAUUCUUGCGGGAAUAUUGGAGUCAUCAGUGAGAUACCACUCUUAUAAUGUUAGAUUUCUAACUUUGUAUCAUUAUCUGGUCAAAGAGCAGUCUCAGGCGGGCAGUUUGACUGGGGCGGUCGCCUCCCAAACGGUAACGGAGGCGCACAAAGGUUUCCUCUGAACGUGUAGAAAUCGUAUCUAGAGUGUAAAGGCAUAAGGAAGCUUGACUGUGAGACCUACAAGUCGAGCAGGGACGAAAGUCGGUCUUAGUGAUCUGACGGUGCUGAGUGGAAAGGCCGUCACUCAACGGAUAAAAGUUACUCUAGGAUAACAGGCUGAUCUCCCCCAAGAGUUCACAUCGACGGGGAGGUUUGGCACCUCGAUGUCGGCUCAUCGCAUCCUGGGGCGGUAGUACGUCCCAAGGGUUGGGCUGUUCGCCCAUGAAAGCGGUACGCGAGCUGGGUUCAGAACGUCGUGAGACAGUUCGGUCCAUAUCCGGUGUAGGCGUUAGAAUAUUGAGAGGAGCCUUCUUUAGUACGAGAGGACCGAGAAGGACAUACCUCUGGUGUACCAGUUAUCGUGCCAACGGUAAACGCUGGGUAGCUAUGUAUGGAGAGGAUAACCGCUGAAAGCAUCUAAGUGGGAAGCCCACCUCAAGAUAAG
RNAcentral lists this ribosomal RNA (1235 nucleotides) under metagenome. Its description in RNAcentral is "bacterial LSU rRNA". It matches the Rfam family "Bacterial large subunit ribosomal RNA", at positions 1564 to 2808 of the family's 2925-position model. The record is from RNAcentral.